Molecule: ribosomal RNA, 30 nt
Filed under: Collybiopsis subnuda
Lineage: Eukaryota; Fungi; Basidiomycota; Agaricomycetes; Agaricales; Omphalotaceae
Description: Marasmiellus subnudus partial 18S ribosomal RNA
Source: RNAcentral
UCCCCUAGGNGAACCUGCGGAAGGAUCAUU